CCUACGGGAGGCAGCAGUGGGGAAUAUUGGGCAAUGGAGGCAACUCUGACCCAGCAACGCCGCGAGAAUGAUGAAGGUCUGCGGAGGGUAAAGUUCUUUUCUAAGGGAAGAAGAAAGUGACGGUACCUUAGGAAUAAGCCUCCGCUAACUACGUGCCAGCAGCCGAGGGAAUACGUAGGAGGCAAGCGUUAUCCGGAAUGACUGGGCGGAAAGGGGGCGUAGGGGGUUUGACAAGUUAGUAGCGCAACUCCGGAGCUCAACUUCGGAACGAAUACUAAAACUGUUGGACUUGAGUGCAGGAGGGGCAAUCGGAAUUCCUAGGGUAGCGGUGGAAUGCGUAGAUAUUAGGAGGAACACCAGUGGCGAAGGCGGAUUGCUAGACUGUAACUGACACUGAGGCACUAAAGCGUGGGGAGCAAACAGGAUUAGAUACCCGGGUAGUC
RNAcentral lists this ribosomal RNA (443 nucleotides) under uncultured bacterium. RNAcentral's name for it is "partial 16S ribosomal RNA". It matches the Rfam family "Bacterial small subunit ribosomal RNA", at positions 338 to 795 of the family's 1533-position model. The record is from RNAcentral.